This is a non-coding RNA of Sarcophilus harrisii (Tasmanian devil), 48 nucleotides long. The record is from Rfam. Lineage: Eukaryota; Metazoa; Chordata; Mammalia; Dasyuromorphia; Dasyuridae.
AAAAAGGAUUUUUCUAAAAUCCACCAAUCACUUCCUGAAAGAGAUCCU